RNAcentral lists this ribosomal RNA (887 nucleotides) under Staphylococcus aureus. RNAcentral describes it as "bacterial SSU rRNA". It matches the Rfam family "Bacterial small subunit ribosomal RNA", at positions 34 to 905 of the family's 1533-position model. The record is from RNAcentral. Lineage: Bacteria; Bacillati; Bacillota; Bacilli; Caryophanales; Staphylococcaceae.
GGCAUGGCGGCAGCUAUAAUGCAGUCGAGCGAACGGACGAGAAGCUUGCUUCUCUGAUGUUAGCGGCGGACGGGUGAGUAACACGUGGAUAACCUACCUAUAAGACUGGGAUAACUUCGGGAAACCGGAGCUAAUACCGGAUAAUAUUUUGAACCGCAUGGUUCAAAAGUGAAAGACGGUCUUGCUGUCACUUAUAGAUGGAUCCGCGCUGCAUUAGCUAGUUGGUAAGGUAACGGCUUACCAAGGCAACGAUGCAUAGCCGACCUGAGAGGGUGAUCGGCCACACUGGAACUGAGACACGGUCCAGACUCCUACGGGAGGCAGCAGUAGGGAAUCUUCCGCAAUGGGCGAAAGCCUGACGGAGCAACGCCGCGUGAGUGAUGAAGGUCUUCGGAUCGUAAAACUCUGUUAUUAGGGAAGAACAUAUGUGUAAGUAACUGUGCACAUCUUGACGGUACCUAAUCAGAAAGCCACGGCUAACUACGUGCCAGCAGCCGCGGUAAUACGUAGGUGGCAAGCGUUAUCCGGAAUUAUUGGGCGUAAAGCGCGCGUAGGCGGUUUUUUAAGUCUGAUGUGAAAGCCCACGGCUCAACCGUGGAGGGUCAUUGGAAACUGGAAAACUUGAGUGCAGAAGAGGAAAGUGGAAUUCCAUGUGUAGCGGUGAAAUGCGCAGAGAUAUGGAGGAACACCAGUGGCGAAGGCGACUUUCUGGUCUGUAACUGACGCUGAUGUGCGAAAGCGUGGGGAUCAAACAGGAUUAGAUACCCUGGUAGUCCACGCCGUAAACGAUGAGUGCUAAGUGUUAGGGGGUUUCCGCCCCUUAGUGCUGCAGCUAACGCAUUAAGCACUCCGCCUGGGGGAGUACGACCGCAAGGUUGAAACUCAGA